AAUAUAGUGCCUGAUUUUAAAAGGAUAGCUUUGAUAGAGCUAAUCAUGUAUUUUAUACCUAUAUUA
RNAcentral lists this transfer RNA (66 nucleotides) under Pseudocarcinus gigas. RNAcentral's name for it is "tRNA-Ile". The record is from RNAcentral. Lineage: Eukaryota; Metazoa; Arthropoda; Malacostraca; Decapoda; Eriphiidae.